GCAAGCAAGAAUCAUCUUCAACUUCUAUCCAAGUAAUCAAACUCCUCCAGCUUCAAGAACCCGCCUUUCAGCCUUGUGAACUUCACAACCCAAAUCCAAUUCACGGAGGUGAUAUCUCGCAAGGGAAUCGUGAUCGCAAAGGAAAGAAAAUAGUUUUGGAAUAAG
Long non-coding RNA from Salvia splendens (bonfire salvia), 165 nucleotides. RefSeq lists it as uncharacterized. The transcript has 3 exons. NCBI's taxonomy places the organism in Eukaryota, Viridiplantae, Streptophyta, Magnoliopsida, Lamiales, Lamiaceae. The record is from RefSeq and is a predicted model, not a curated record.